Molecule: ribosomal RNA, 496 nt
Filed under: uncultured bacterium
Lineage: Bacteria
Description: partial 16S ribosomal RNA
Rfam family: Bacterial small subunit ribosomal RNA
Source: RNAcentral
GACGAACGCUGGCGGCGUGCCUAAUACAUGCAAGUUGAGCGCUGAAGGUUGGUACUUGUACCAACUGGAUGAGCAGCGAACGGGUGAGUAACGCGUGGGGAAUCUGCCUUUGAGCGGGGGACAACAUUUGGAAACGAAUGCUAAUACCGCAUAAAAACUUUAAACACAAGUUUUAAGUUUGAAAGAUGCAAUUGCAUCACUCAAAGAUGAUCCCGCGUUGUAUUAGCUAGUUGGUGAGGUAAAGGCUCACCAAGGCGAUGAUACAUAGCCGACCUGAGAGGGUAAUCGGCCACAUUGGAACUGAGACACGGCCCAAACUCCUACGGGGGGAGGCGGAAGGAAAUCUUCGCAAUGGACGAAAGUCUGACCGAGCAACGCCGCGUGAGUGAAGAAGGUUUUCGGAUCGUAAAACUCUGUUGGUAGAGAAGAACGUUGGUGAGAGUGGAAAGCUCAUCAAGUGACGGUAACUACCCAGAAAGGGACGGCUAACUACGUG